CUAGUAUUUGUCAGUAUGUUCUGUAUUUUAAUGAUGUACACACUUCCUAAAAUAUACCUUGAAAUAGGUUAAGGAACUUUGCAUAGAUAAAUAGUAGAAAUUUCAGUGUUAGAGUUAAGCUCCCUAUGGUAUUUUAAGGCUUGUAGAAAUACCCAUGUGUUAAGUUGUCACAUUUUCAAAUUACAAACUUGUAACUGUCACUCUCUAACAGUGCGUGCAUAACUAUAUCCACAGCUUUGUGGGAAGAGAUGUUAUUCAAAGUAAUACAUUUUAGGCAUUUUCUUAUCAUUAGAAGAGGCAUUCUUUAUUCACAAAUAUUUAAAUUUUGCAGUGUGAUGAAGUUGAGAGGGUGGCUAGAUGUGAAUAACAGCUGGGUUAGAACAAGUACCUCAGGAAUUUUGUCCAAGAUUAUUCCCAACAACUGCCCCUCUCUGAUCUCCAGCCAUGAAGAUCCAAUCUGGUUUGUUGGAGUACUUCCUACUUUGAGAUGCUCAUGCUAAGCACACAGACUGCUUUCAGGCUGGCACAGGAUAUCUUCUUGCUCCUCACAAGGGACACUGUUUGCAGUGGCUUGGUGAUGAUUUGAGACACCACUCAUAUUAUUUCCAGGACUGUGAGGAAUCCACUUGGAUAUCCUGGAUUUUAAUACAUGUCCAUGAAUUAGGUAGCCAAAAUGAAGAUUUCCAUUUUGCUUCAACAAGAUUUCCAUUUUACUACAACAAGAAACAGGCAAAGUCAAUCCUGAUGAUUUAAGCUGGGUUGAUAGUGGCAGCAUAAGGGUGAAUGCUUUUAAACUAAGAUGGGAGAUUUAGGUUAGAUAUUAGGAGAAAGUUUUUCAUUGAGAAGGUGGUGACACACUGGAAUGGGUUGCCCAGAGAGGUUGUGGAUGCCCUGUCCUUGGAAGCAUUCAAGGUGAGGCUGGAUGUAGCUCUGGGUAGCCUGGUCUAGUAGUUGGCAACCCUGCACAUAGCACAGGGGCUAAAACUAGAUGAUCUUUGAGGUCCUUUUCAACCCGGGCUCUUCUAUGAUUCUGUGAAGACAGAUAUUUUGAAAGAUGCCAC
This 1061-nucleotide long non-coding RNA is filed under the name Coturnix japonica (Japanese quail). RNAcentral's name for it is "lncRNA (ENSCJPG00005000901.1)". Lineage: Eukaryota; Metazoa; Chordata; Aves; Galliformes; Phasianidae. The record is from RNAcentral.